CGCAUAAGCGCACGGCAUCGCAUGAUGCAGUGUGAAAAACUCCGGUGGUAUAAGAUGGACCCGCGUUGGAUUAGCUAGUUGGUGAGGUAACGGCCCACCAAGGCGACGAUCCAUAGCCGACCUGAGAGGGUGACCGGCCACAUUGGGACUGAGACACGGCCCAAACUCCUACGGGAGGCAGCAGUGGGGAAUAUUGCACAAUGGGCGAAAGCCUGAUGCAGCGACGCCGCGUGAGCGAAGAAGUAUUUCGGUAUGUAAAGCUCUAUCAGCAGGGAAGAUAAUGACGGUACCUGACUAAGAAGCACCGGCUAAAUACGUGCCAGCAGCCGCGGUAAUACGUAUGGUGCAAGCGUUAUCCGGAUUUACUGGGUGUAAGGGAGCGCAGCGGUGCGGCAAGUCUGAUGUGAAAGCCCGGGGCUCAACCCCGGUACUGCAUUGGAAACUGUCGUACUAGAGUGUCGGAGGGGUAAGCGGAAUUCCUAGUGUAGCGGUGAAAUGCGUAGAUAUUAGGAGGAACACCAGUGGCGAAG
RNAcentral lists this ribosomal RNA (530 nucleotides) under uncultured Lachnospiraceae bacterium. Its description in RNAcentral is "bacterial SSU rRNA". It matches the Rfam family "Bacterial small subunit ribosomal RNA", at positions 170 to 720 of the family's 1533-position model. The record is from RNAcentral. Lineage: Bacteria; Bacillati; Bacillota; Clostridia; Lachnospirales; Lachnospiraceae.